RNAcentral lists this ribosomal RNA (501 nucleotides) under uncultured bacterium. RNAcentral's name for it is "partial 16S ribosomal RNA". It matches the Rfam family "Bacterial small subunit ribosomal RNA", at positions 29 to 523 of the family's 1533-position model. The record is from RNAcentral.
AUUGAACGCUGGCGGCAUGCCUUACACAUGCAAGUCGAACGGCAGCACGGGCGCUUGCACCUGGUGGCGAGUGGCGAACGGGUGAGUAAUUCAUCGGAACGUACCUUAUCGUGGGGGAUAACGCAGCGAAAGCUGUGCUAAUACCGCAUACGCCCUGAGGGGGAAAGCGGGGGAUCGCAAGACCUCGCGCGAUUAGAGCGGCCGAUGCCUGAUUAGCUUGUUGGUGGGGUAAAAGCCCACCAAGGCGACGACCAGUAGCUGGUCUGAGAGGACGAUCAGCCACACUGGGACUGGGGCACGGCCCAGACUCCUACGGGAGGCAGCAGUGGGGAAUUUUGGACAAUGGGGGCAACCCUGAUCCAGCAGUGCCGCGUGAGUGAAGAAGGCCUUCGGGUUGUAAAGCUCUUUUGUCAGGGAAGAAACACCGGCUCUAACACAGUCCGGGAAUGACGGUACCUGAAGAAUAAGCACCGGCUAACUACGUGCCAGCAGCCGCCGUAA